RNAcentral lists this ribosomal RNA (409 nucleotides) under uncultured bacterium. RNAcentral's name for it is "partial 16S ribosomal RNA". It matches the Rfam family "Bacterial small subunit ribosomal RNA", at positions 355 to 755 of the family's 1533-position model. The record is from RNAcentral.
UGGGGAAUUUUGGACAAUGGGCGCAAGCCUGAUCCAGCAAUGCCGCGUGCAGGAUGAAGGCCUUCGGGUUGUAAACUGCUUUUGUACGGAACGAAAAGCCUCUCUCUAAUACAGGGGGGUGAUGACGGUACCGUAAGAAUAAGCACCGGCUAACUACGUGCCAGCAGCCGCGGUAAUACGUAGGGUGCAAGCGUUAAUCGGAAUUACUGGGCGUAAAGCGUGCGCAGGCGGUUUUGUAAGACAGUGGUGAAAUCCCCGGGCUCAACCUGGGAACUGCCAUUGUGACUGCAAGGCUGGAGUGCGGCAGAGGGGGGAUGGAAUUCCGCGUGUAGCAGUGAAAUGCGUAGAUAUGCGGAGGAACACCGAUGGCGAAGGCAAUCCCCUGGGCCUGCACUAACGCUCAUGCACG